GACGAACGCUGGCGGCGUGCUUAACACAUGCAAGUCGAACGGAAAGGCCCUGCUUUUGUGGGGUGCUCGAGUGGCGAACGGGUGAGUAACACGUGAGUAACCUGCCCUUGACUUUGGGAUAACUUCAGGAAACUGGGGCUAAUACCGGAUAGGAGCUCCUGCUGCAUGGUGGGGGUUGGAAAGUUUCGGCGGUUGGGGAUGGACUCGCGGCUUAUCAGCUUGUUGGUGGGGUAGUGGCUUACCAAGGCAUUGACGGGUAGCCGGCCUGAGAGGGUGACCGGCCACAUUGGGCCUGAGAUACGGCCCAGACUCCUACGGGAGGCAGCAGUGGGGAAUAUUGCACAAUGGGCGGAAGCCUGAUGCAGCAACGCCGCGUGCGGGAUGACGGCCUUCGGGUUGUAAACCGCUUUCGCCUGUGACGAAGCGUGAGUGACGGUAAUGGGUAAAGAAGCACCGGCUAACUCCGUG
RNAcentral lists this ribosomal RNA (468 nucleotides) under uncultured bacterium. Its description in RNAcentral is "partial 16S ribosomal RNA". It matches the Rfam family "Bacterial small subunit ribosomal RNA", at positions 28 to 507 of the family's 1533-position model. The record is from RNAcentral.